Molecule: transfer RNA, 61 nt
Filed under: Kalasha nativa
Lineage: Eukaryota; Metazoa; Arthropoda; Insecta; Hemiptera; Cicadellidae
Description: tRNA-Ala
Source: RNAcentral
UGAAUUAUAGUUAAUAAAUAACAUUUGAGUUGCAAUCAAAAAGUGCUACAAGCUAAUUUUA